UGGGGGAUAUUGCACAAUGGGGGGAACCCUGAUGCAGCGACGCCGCGUGGGUGAAGGAGUGCUUCGGCAUGUAAAGCCCUAUCGGCAGGGAAGAACAUGACGGUACCUGACUAAGAAGCCCCGGCUAACUACGUGCCAGCAGCCGCGGUAAUACGUAGGGGGCGAGCGUUAUCCGGAUUCACUGGGUGUAAAGGGAGCGUAGACGGCCAUGCAAGCCAGGGGUGAAAGCCCGGGGCCCAACCCCGGGACUGCCCUUGGAACUGUCAGGCUAGAGUGCGGGAGGGGCAGGCGGAAUUCCUGGUG
Molecule: ribosomal RNA, 303 nt
Filed under: uncultured bacterium
Lineage: Bacteria
Description: bacterial SSU rRNA
Rfam family: Bacterial small subunit ribosomal RNA
Source: RNAcentral